This 379-nucleotide ribosomal RNA is filed under the name uncultured organism. Its description in RNAcentral is "bacterial SSU rRNA". It matches the Rfam family "Bacterial small subunit ribosomal RNA", at positions 367 to 762 of the family's 1533-position model. The record is from RNAcentral.
CCCAAGGGGGAAAACCCGGAGGAGCAAACCCGCCUGAAGGGAGAAAGCCUCUGGGCAGUUAACCUUUUUUCUCAAGGGAGAAAAUCAAACGGUACUCCAGGAAUAAGCCCCGGCUAAUUCCGUGCCAGCAGCCGCGGUAAUACGGGGGGGGCAAGCGUUAUCCGGAAUUAUUGGGCGUAAAGGGUCCGCAGGCGGCCUUGUAAGUCUGUCGUUAAAGCCCCGAGCUUAACUCCGGUUCAGCGAUGGAAACUACUAGGCUUGAGUGUGGUAGGGGCAGAGGGAAUUCCCGGUGUAGCGGUGAAAUGCGUAGAUAUCGGGAAGAACACCAGCGGCGAAGGCGGUUAGCUGGGCCAUCACUGACGCUCAGGGGCGAAAGCCA